GACGAACGCUGGCGGCGUGCUUAACACAUGCAAGUCGAACGGAAAGGCCUUUUCGGAGGUACUCGAGUGGCGAACGGGUGAGUAACACGUGGGUGAUCUGCCCUGCACUCUGGGAUAAGCCUGGGAAACUGGGUCUAAUACCGGAUAGGACCGCACUUUAGUGUGUGUGGUGGAAAGUUUUUUCGGUGUAGGAUGAGCCCGCGGCCUAUCAGCUUGUUGGUGGGGUAAUGGCCUACCAAGGCGGCGACGGGUAGCCGGACUGAGAGGUUGGUCGGCCACAUUGGGACUGAGAUACGGCCCAGACUCCUACGGGAGGCAGCAGUGGGGAAUAUCGCACAAUGGGCGCAAGCCUGAUGCAGCGACGCCGCGUGGGGGAUGACGGCCUUCGGGUUGUAAACUCCUUUCGCCAGGGACGAAGCGUUUUGUGACGGUACCUGGAGAAGAAGCACCGGCUAACUACGUG
This 463-nucleotide ribosomal RNA is filed under the name uncultured bacterium. RNAcentral's name for it is "partial 16S ribosomal RNA". It matches the Rfam family "Bacterial small subunit ribosomal RNA", at positions 28 to 507 of the family's 1533-position model. The record is from RNAcentral.